CCCUUAGAUGUCCUGGGCCGCACGCGCGCUACACUGAGUGUCUGAGAUACUAGUCUGCCUGGUCCGGCAAGGUCUAGGUAAUCGCUAAAAGACACAUCAUGCUUGGGAUAGAUUAUUGCAAAUAUUAAUCUUGAACGAGGAAUUCCUAGUAAGCGCAAGUCAACAGCUUGCGUUGAUUACGUCCCUGCCCUUUGUACACACCGCCCGUCGCUACUACUGAUUGGAUGUUUAAGCGAGGUUCUCGAACUGCUAGCGACUUAGCUUCGGUGAGGUCGCAGUGUGGGAAGUGAACCUAGCUUUGGUGUCUAGAGGAAGUAAAAGUCGUAACA
Molecule: ribosomal RNA, 329 nt
Filed under: uncultured eukaryote
Lineage: Eukaryota
Description: partial 18S ribosomal RNA
Rfam family: Eukaryotic small subunit ribosomal RNA
Source: RNAcentral